Molecule: ribosomal RNA, 2286 nt
Filed under: human gut metagenome
Description: bacterial LSU rRNA
Rfam family: Bacterial large subunit ribosomal RNA
Source: RNAcentral
AGGGCGUACGGUGGAUGCCUUGGCGAUAUCAGCCGAAGAAGGACGCGGUAAGCUGCGAUAAGCUACGGAGAGGUGCAAGCAACCUGUGACCCGUAGAUUUCCGAAUGGGGGAACCCGGCAGUGGUUAUGCACUGUCACCCAUAGCUUAGACUAUGAGGAGGGCACCCGGGGAACUGAAACAUCUAAUUACCCGGAGGAACAGUAAUCAAACGAGAUUUUCUUAGUAGCGGCGAGCGAACGGGAAAGAGGCCAAACCGGAGCGGGCAACCGCACCGGGGUUGAGGACAGUCAUCAAGUGUAAAUGAGGUAGAAGAAUCGAGCUGGAAAGCUCAGCCGCAGAAGGUGAAAGCCCUGUAAUCGAAACCUUGCAUACAUGGGACUGUAUCCAGAGUACCACGAGACACGUGAAACCUUGUGGGAAGCAGGGGGGACCACCCUCCAAGCCAAAAUACUGAUAUCGACCGAUAGCGCAUAGUACCGUGAGGGAAAGGUGAAAAGAACCCCUGGCGGGGAGUGAAAGAGAACCUGAAACCGUAUGUCUACAAACAGUCGAAGUCUGUAUAUAUAUCAGGACGACGGCGUGCCUAUUGAAGAAUGAACCGACGAGUUACUGUUGCUAGCGAGGUUAAGUGGAAAACAUGGAGCCGCAGCGAAAGCGAGUCUGAACAGGGCGUUCAGUUAGUAAUAGUAGACCCGAAACCGUAGUGAUCUAUCCAUGGCCAGGUUGAAGCACAGGUAAAAUUGUGUGGAGGACCGAACUCGUGAGCGUUGAAAAGCUUUGGGAUGAGUUGUGGAUAGGGGUGAAAUGCCAAUCGAACACGGAGAUAGCUGGUUCUCCCCGAAAUAGCUUUAGGGCUAGCCUCGAGGUAGAGAGUAUAGGCGGUAGAGCACUGAUCGGGCUAGGGGCCAUACCGGUUACCGAACCUAGUCAAACUACGAAUGGCUAUACUUAUACUCGGGAGUCAGACAGUGAAUGAUAAGGUCCAUUGUCAAGAGGGAAACAGCCCAGAACACCGACUAAGGUCCCCAAUGUUACACUAAGUGGCGAAGGAUGUGGAAUUUCCAAAACAACCAGGAUGUUGGCUUAGAAGCAGCCACCAUUUAAAGAGUGCGUAAUAGCUCACUGGUCGAGAGACUCUGCGCCGAAAAUGUCCGGGGCUAAAGUGUAAAACCGAAGUCGUGUCAUAUGCAGCAAUGUAUAUGGGUAGGGGAGCGUUCUCAUCGGGCUGAAGCAGUACCGUAAGGAGUUGUGGACUGAUGAGAAGUGAGAAUGUCGGUAUGAGUAGCGAAAAGAAUGGUGAGAAUCCAUUCCACCGAAAGCCUAAGGGUUCCUGAGCAACGAUCGUCGUCUCAGGGUAAGUCGGGACCUAAGCCGAGGCGGAAAAGCGUAGGCGAUGGACAACAGGUUGAAAUUCCUGUACCGGUGUGAAUCGUUUGAUCGAUGGAGUGACACAGUAAGGUAGGUCAGCACGCGAUUGGAAGAGCGUGUUUAAGCAGGUAGGUUGAGCUAUAGGCAAAUCCGUAGCUCUAAAAGCUGAGAUGUGAUGACGAGUGACUAGCAAUAGUCGCGAAGUGAUUGAUCCUACACUGUCGAGAAAAGCUUCUAGGUAGAGACACAUCGCCCGUACCAAAACCGACACAGGUAGGCGGGGAGAGAAUCCUAAGGUGCGCGGGAAAACCCUCGUUAAGGAACUCGGCAAAAUGCCUCCGUAACUUCGGGAAAAGGAGGACUCAUGUAGUGUGAAGAGCAGAAGCGCUUGGAGCAUGAAUGAGUGGCACAAGAGAGGCGCAAGCGACUGUUUACCACAAACACAGGUGCCUGCUAAAGCGAAAGCUGAUGUAUAGGUGCUGACACCUGCCCGGUGCUGGAAGGUUAAGAGGAGGGGUUAGACUUCGGUCGAAGCUCUGAAUUGAAGCCCCAGUAAACGGCGGCCGUAACUAUAACGGUCCUAAGGUAGCGAAAUUCCUUGUCGGGUAAGUUCCGACCCGCACGAAAGGUGUAACGACUUGCGCACUGUCUCAACGAGGGACCCGGUGAAAUUGAAGUACCUGUGAAGAUGCAGGUUACCCGCGACUGGACAGAAAGACCCCAUGGAGCUUUACUGCAACCUAAGAUUGAACUUAGUUAAUGAAUGUACAGGAUAGGUGGGAGACGUAGAACCUAGGACGCCAGUUUUAGGGGAGUCGCUGUUGGGAUACCACCCUUUCAUUAAUUGAUUUCUAACGGGCCGAGUAACGACCGGCCGGACAGUCUUAGGCGGGCAGUUUGACUGGGGCGGUCGCCUC